Molecule: long non-coding RNA, 288 nt
Organism: Condylura cristata (star-nosed mole)
Lineage: Eukaryota; Metazoa; Chordata; Mammalia; Eulipotyphla; Talpidae
Exons: 3
Source: RefSeq, a predicted model, not a curated record
CGGCGUGCUUCGACUUUCGCUUUUCUUCUCUAAGGACCUUAGGAGGCCAGUACCCCCACUUGAGAGGUGUAACCUUGAGAAAGCAUCAGAGAAAUCCCAUUUGAACAACAUUCUACAAAUACCUCACCAGAACUCCUCAAAGCUGACAAGAAUUUCAAGAUCAAAGAAAAUUUGAGAAAUUGUCACAGCUGAGAGGUCCUUGAGAAGACAUGACAGCUAAAUGUCAUGAAAAAGUUAAGAAGAACUUAUUUCACAUCUUUCUGACCUUUUUUGGGCAGAUGAGUUGGA